This is a non-coding RNA of Felis catus (domestic cat), 85 nucleotides long. NCBI's taxonomy places the organism in Eukaryota, Metazoa, Chordata, Mammalia, Carnivora, Felidae. The record is from Rfam.
GCCUGGGUGGCUCAGUCAGUUAAGCAUCUGACUUUGGCUCAGGUCAUGAUCUCGCGGCUCGUGAGUUCGAGCCCCACGUCGGGCU